AUGGGAGAUAAGGGGGAUCAGGGGUACAAAGGUGAGAAGGGUGACCAGGGUCCUCCUGGUCCUCCAGGGCAACCAGGAAGGUCUGGACUUGUGGGUCCAAAAGGGGAAUCUGUUGUUGGACCUCAAGGCCCAGCAGGUUCCCCCGGUUUACCUGGAGCUCCUGGGAUUGGACGACCUGGACCACGGGGUUCUCCUGGCCCUGCGGGACCUCCAGGUCCAGCAGCUGCCUAUGACUCAACUGCCAUCACUGUCCCAGGCCCUCCUGGUCCGCCCGGUCCACCAGGAACUCCGGGUUACGCCAGCCCGGUGAGAUGCUUCUACAAAGUGUAG
RNAcentral lists this long non-coding RNA (330 nucleotides) under Oryzias javanicus (javanese ricefish). RNAcentral's name for it is "lncRNA (ENSOJAG00000021221.1)". The record is from RNAcentral. Lineage: Eukaryota; Metazoa; Chordata; Actinopteri; Beloniformes; Adrianichthyidae.